RNAcentral lists this long non-coding RNA (2086 nucleotides) under Orbicella faveolata. RNAcentral describes it as "uncharacterized LOC110048065". The record is from RNAcentral. Lineage: Eukaryota; Metazoa; Cnidaria; Anthozoa; Scleractinia; Merulinidae.
UCAUGCUAAACAUUUCGCUUUUCUUGACGCUCGGUAAAUGUUUGAUUUGUCUCGUCCUUUUACGCAUUGUUCCGUCUCUCAGAUUUAGCAGUUUGGUCGUUUUCCUGUCAAUGUCUAGCUCGGUCGCUUUGUCGUUUAUUUGUCACGUAAUGAUUUUCCCUUUGUCGGCAAAAAUUAUUUUUGUUUUCAAUGAAACACUGGCAUAUUUGCGGCUCAAACAUAUUCAAGUAUACUAACAAAGAAAACCGACGUCGAAUAUUUUCUCCAGAUUAGCCAAAUAGAACUUUUAUUUUGCUGUCAGUAACUGUACCUCGUGCCUGUAAUUCGCAAAAGAUUAAUCUUCAAUUUUAACUCGACACCAUUAAAAAGUGAAGUACAAACUGAAAAAUAUUCGCGAAUCUUCAUUUAACUCGCAAAAUAUUUCUUUGUCGAAUCUUUCCUCUUUUCUUUUUCCUUUCCAAAUGCGUAAUAUAACGAGUUAGAAUUGUGUGACGGUGGCUUUGUUAAACAAACAGAUUUAUUAAGCAUAGUGGUAGUUUGGGAUACACUGCGUCGCUGAUACUAUUUCAUUAUUCUUUUCAUAAACUCUUUUAUGUGUGGUUACCACGAUGAGGUGAAAGCAAAAUGGCUUUUAAUGAACCUUUAGCCCCAGGUGAAUAAGCCAUUAAAAGAGUCCUAAAUGCAAAAUGUGUACUAGCGAAAAGGAAAAAAAAAAUAAGCAGCAUUUGGCUUGUGAAAUUUCGUCCCAAAAUUAUUUGAAGAAGAUGCAACGUGUCUGUUUGUUUACUUAAAUCAGAACCUUUUAUGACGCUCGUGAGUGACAGGCCACAAACGCGUGAGAGAAAUGUCGAAAUAAACCUCCAAAACUUUCAUUAUCACAGAUUUUAUCAGCACUGUAACAGUUCCUGAACCGUUGCCCUUGGAAACAGAUUUUCUCCAAUCUUCAAGUUCACUUCUUUUAAAACUUAUUUUGUAGUAUGAAGAGAGUUUUCCUCAAUUAUACGUGUGAAUGCUGAAACGCUUAAUAUUUUUUUUGUUACCCCUGCAUUUUUCCUUCAAGUAUAAAUUUUCGCUUGUUUUUAAUUUUGCUAGGCAGUAAGUGAUUAUUUGUAGGACGUUGUGAGAGCUAUCUAUUUUGUUAUUAUCAGGCUCGUGACCGACCUAAUCAGGUAGAUUGUAAAUUUCAACUAUUUGCCUGUAAGCCUGGGAAGACUUUAGUUUGGUCCGAGUUCGCGGUGUAAAGGUGUUGUCGUGUUAUCUUUAUUCGCCGCGUGGCGAGACAAAAACGUGCGCUCGGUAUAAUCUUCUUUGACACCUGCUGAAGACAGCUUGAGAGAGUAACAUUGCCUUUAAAAAACACUUCAUUUGCGAGGCAAAGGUUUGCACGGAAUGAAUUUCUUAAAAAGAAAUGGUUUCAGUUGCCAAUAAUUCAUGGAUUCAGCGCAAUGAUCAAUCAUAACUUUCUUCUUUAAAAAAAUCCCAUAUGAACAAUUUCAUAAGUUCUUUUGUAACAGUGUAAAUGACUAAAAUUUCUGGGGCAAUAGUCUAAUUUCAGCAGCUUUGUUUCCCACACCGUUUUACAUGUUUUACCGCGUUUCAUUAUUAGGGCCUUAGCCAAGUCAUUGUAAUUCCGCCUUGUUCGUUGCAAACAAAAGCUUGUUUACUCAGCCUUUCACUUGAAAAGACGCACAACUAAUACUUUGGCGAUCGCCUGUGGUAACCACCAUUCCUGACUGAGUAACAUGAGAAUUUUGUUCAGUAGAACAGCUUGUACUUUAGCACGCAAUGCAGCCUCUAUCCUGUGAAGUUCGCAGAAACAACGCCUCCAGAGAAGAAUGCCUUAACACUUGAAAUACUUGACCUGAGUGGUUAUACAGUGUCGCUAUAAGUCGUGAGAAAAUUUCAGUCACAAUGAAGAACUUGGCAAAGAGGCAAAAACAGAAGUACGCUCAAGUUAUCUGCGACUGUUGAGAGUACCAAAGGAAUUGUCAAACCAUAGAUCGACAGCAAAGAUAGAGGAAUAUAUUGAAACUGCAAAGUUCAGUCGUCAAUGCAGGUUGAGAAUACUAAACACGAACGAGUUAAA